RNAcentral lists this ribosomal RNA (219 nucleotides) under uncultured bacterium. RNAcentral's name for it is "partial 16S ribosomal RNA". It matches the Rfam family "Bacterial small subunit ribosomal RNA", at positions 118 to 334 of the family's 1533-position model. The record is from RNAcentral.
UGGGCAACCUGCCCUAUACUGGGGAAUAAUCACUGGAAACGGUGACUAAUACCGCAUGUCAUCACGAGAAGGCAUCUUUUUGUUGAGAAAAGGAGUAAUUCGGUAUAGGAUGGGCCCGCAUCUGAUUAGCUAGUUGGUGAGAUAACAGCCCACCAAGGCGACGAUCAGUAGCCGACCUGAGAGGGUGAUCGGCCACAUUGGGACUGAGACACGGCCCAA